UAAAUAUUUGGGAACAGCAGCAGAUGAAGC
Molecule: non-coding RNA, 30 nt
Filed under: Rattus norvegicus (Norway rat)
Lineage: Eukaryota; Metazoa; Chordata; Mammalia; Rodentia; Muridae
Source: RNAcentral